UAAUAAGUGUUUUAUGGCACUUUUUAAAUCCAUAUCCACCUUGUGUGCAAUGUCAGUCAAUCUUCUUCAUGGAGAUCGACCAAACAUCAACCUUUAUCUUUUAACUCUUUGUCUGAAAAAUAUUAUGAAUAAACAAUUCAAAAUA
This 145-nucleotide unclassified non-coding RNA is filed under the name soil metagenome. Its description in RNAcentral is "partial internal transcribed spacer 1". The record is from RNAcentral.